Pelobates cultripes (western spadefoot toad) is the source of this 104-nucleotide non-coding RNA. Lineage: Eukaryota; Metazoa; Chordata; Amphibia; Anura; Pelobatidae. The record is from the annotation of a GenBank genome assembly.
AUUUCUGUCUUUAGAAGGAACGGUCCUUCAGACUCAAAUUAUUAUUUUACAAUAAUAAAAUAAUUAUUUGAGUCUCAAGGAAAGACUGUUCCUUCUAAAGACAG